Molecule: ribosomal RNA, 912 nt
Filed under: uncultured archaeon
Lineage: Archaea
Description: bacterial SSU rRNA
Rfam family: Archaeal small subunit ribosomal RNA
Source: RNAcentral
CCCGACUGCUAUUUGGGUGAGAAUAAGCCAUGCGAGUUGAAUGGGAUGCCAAAAUUUCCCAUAGCAGACUGCUCAGCAACACAUGAUCAACUUACCCUAUAGAGAAAAAUAACCUCGGGAAACUGAGGAUAAUGUUUCAUAAUUGAAUAGGCUUGGAAAAGUUAUUCAACGAAAGGGAUAUGAAAAAUGGUUCAUAUCUGCUAUAGGAUAGGAUCGUGGUCGAUUAUGGUUGUUGGUGAGGUAAUGGCUCACCAAGCCGAUAAUCGAUAGGGGCCGUGAGAGCGGAAGCCCCGAGAUGGGUACUGAGACAACGACCCAGGCCUUACGAGGCGCAGCAGGCGCGGAACCUCCGCAAUACACGAAAGUGUGACGGGGUUACCCAAAGUGUUCUAUUAAGAACUGUGGUAGGUGGGUAAUGUCCCCUACUAGAAAGGAGAGGGCAAGGCUGGUGCCAGCCGCCGCGGUAAAACCAGCUCUUCAAGUGGUCGGGAUAAUUAUUGGGCUUAAAGUGUCCGUAGCCGGUUUAGUAAGUUCCUGGUAAAAUCGGGUAGCUUAACUAUCUGUGUGCUAGGAAUACUGCUAUACUAGAGGGCGGGAGAGGUCUGAGGUACUACAGGGGUAGGGGUGAAAUCUUAUAAUCCUUGUAGGACCACCAGUGGCGAAGGCGUCAGACUGGAACGUGCCUGACGGUGAGGGACGAAAGCCAGGGGAGCGAACCGGAUUAGAUACGUUGGUGCUAGUGAGAUAGAAGAAUAUCUAUUUAAAUAUUAUUAACACCACGCUAAACACCCGGGUAGUCCUGGCCGUAAACGAUGCAUACUAGGUGAUGGCACGGCCAUGAGCCGUGACAGUGCCGUAGGGAAACCGUUAAGUGUGCCGCCUGGGAAGUACGUUCGCAAGGCUAAAACUUAA